This 454-nucleotide ribosomal RNA is filed under the name uncultured bacterium. RNAcentral describes it as "bacterial SSU rRNA". It matches the Rfam family "Bacterial small subunit ribosomal RNA", at positions 29 to 524 of the family's 1533-position model. The record is from RNAcentral.
AACGAACGCUGGCGGCAGGCCUCAAACAUGCAAGUCUAGGGGGUGUAGCAAUACAUCACCGGCGGACGGGUGCGUAACACGUGGGAAUAUACCUUUUGGUUCGGAACAACGCAGGGAAACUUGCGCUAAUACCGAAUGUGCCCUUACGGGGAAAGAUUUAUCGCCAAAGGAUUAGCCCGCGUAGGAUUAGCUAGUUGGUGAGGUAAUGGCUCACCAAGGCUCCGAUCCUUAGCUGUUCUGAGAGGAAGAUCAGCCACACUGGGACUGAGACACGGCCCAGACUCCUACGGGAGGCAGCAGUUGGGAAUCUUGGACAAUGGGGGAAACCCUGAUCCAGCCAUGCCGCGUGAGUGAUGAAGGCCUUCGGGUUGUAAAACUACUUUCGACGGGGACGGAUAAUGACGGUACCCGUAGAAGAAGCUCCGGCUAACUUCGUGCCAGCAGCCGCGGUAAU